This 497-nucleotide ribosomal RNA is filed under the name uncultured bacterium. RNAcentral describes it as "SSU rRNA". It matches the Rfam family "Bacterial small subunit ribosomal RNA", at positions 26 to 523 of the family's 1533-position model. The record is from RNAcentral.
AGGACGAACGCUGGCGGCGUGCUUCAUACAUGCAAGUCGAGCGGAAAGGCCCUUCGGGGUACUCGAGCGGCGAACGGGUGAGUAACACGUGAGCAAUCUGCCUUCAGCUCCGGGAUAACGCGCUGUGGUAACACAGCUACUGGAAACAGGUGCUAAUACCGGAUAUGACCUCGAAGGACAUCCUUCGAGGUGGAAAGUUUUUCGGCUGAAGAUGAGCUCGCGGCCUAUCAGCUUGUUGGCGGGGUAACGGCCCACCAAGGCGACGACGGGUAGCCGGCCUGAGAGGGCGACCGGCCACACUGGGACUGAGACACGGCCCAGACUCCUACGGGAGGCAGCAGUAGGGAAUAUUGCGCAAUGGGCGAAAAGCCUGACGCAGCAACGCCGCGUGGGGAUGAAGGCCUUCGGGUCGUAAACCCCUUCAGCAGGGACGAAGCGAAAGUGACGGUACCGUGCAGAAGAAGCGCCGGCUAACUACGUGCCAGCAGCCGCGGUAA